GCUCUCAGACCUGAAGUCCAGUUAGGAAGAGGUUCGAUGGCUGGCUGCCUUGCAGGGGAAGGCCUCAGAGAGGGAGCAAAAUGUCACUGGGCCCAAAAGUGUGAUGAGGACUUCCGCAACUUUUCAUAAGCACCAGGUGCCUAGGACUUGGGGGACGAUGAGUUUCCAUGCAUGGUGAUGGAGAGAAUGUUUGCGUUGCUGUUGGAAAACCUGUACCCUGAUCCUCGCUCUACCACCAGCUCAUGGUACGACCUUGCUUCCUUAAGCUCAUGUGUGAAAUGCAGAAGUUAGACUAGGCUGCCUUCCAGAUUUCACCAGAAGCUGCUCACACCACUUCUCCCAUUAGGACCACUGACUGGAAUAUCUGCUCGCCCAACGGCUGGCCCUGUACUGGCGCUGGAUGUAGAGCCCCCA
Molecule: long non-coding RNA, 414 nt
Organism: Rhinolophus ferrumequinum (greater horseshoe bat)
Lineage: Eukaryota; Metazoa; Chordata; Mammalia; Chiroptera; Rhinolophidae
Exons: 3
Source: RefSeq, a predicted model, not a curated record